Corvus hawaiiensis (hawaiian crow) is the source of this 1818-nucleotide non-coding RNA. Lineage: Eukaryota; Metazoa; Chordata; Aves; Passeriformes; Corvidae. The record is from the annotation of a RefSeq genome assembly.
AUGGCCAAAACCGGCCAGAAAUGGCCAAAAAUUGGGAUUUUGGGGGAAAUUAAGGAGGAAAUGGCCAAAAAUGGGGGGAGGGGCGGGAGCCGAGGCCGCCGUGGGGCAGAAGGAGCCGCGUGUGGGGCAGCCGCCCCCCACCCCCCCCUCCCUCUCCCGCUGCGCACCUGCGGCGCCGACAGCGCCCCCUGGCGGGCCGUGGGCUGCCUGGCCACCGGCUACCUCCCCUCCCACCUGGACUACUCCUGGUCCAGCUCCACCCCCCGAUCCAAAGCACCGCCCCCAUCCCGGAGGUCCGCACCGGCUCCGGCUUCUCGUCCGGGAGCACCGUCCGGCUGCCGGCCACGCCCACCGGCCCCCAGAGAUUCACCUGCAGCGUCCGGGCACGCGGCCACCAGCAGCAGCAAGAGCGUCGAGGUGUCAAGCUCCGCCCCCACCAAGAGGGUCACCUCCCCUCAACCCCCGACCCCAGGUCCUCCAAGCACCUCCCCGAGGCUCUCCGGCCUCGCCGCCGCCGCCUCCGUAGGGACCUCCAGGGCUCCCCACUCAACGCGGGGUGACCUCGGCGUGACCUCGGGGGGCCCCUCCAUCCCCGAAAGCUUGACCCCAGCGGGCGCCGCCGCCCACGCUCCCACCGUCGACGUCUUCCAAGCCUGCUCCGACGGCGGCGUGGUGGAGCUCAUGUGCCUGGUCAGCGGCUUCUCUCCUGCCCCAUCACCGUCACCUGGCUGAUGGACGGGCAGCCCUUGGACCACGCCCACACCGAGCCCGCCGCUCCCGGCGACGCCGCCGGCACUUUCCGCGUGGUGUCGCGCGUCAACGUCUCGCUGGGCGAGUGGAGGGAUGAGAGCUUCUCCUGCCGAGUGGCGCACGCGGCCUCCAGCACCGUCCGGGAGGCGCCGGCCAGGAGGUGUUCGGCCCAAUCGUCCAGCCCCAUCCGCGUCUUCGCCGUGCCGCCGUCGCCCUCGGACCUGUACAUCUCGCAGUCGCCCAAGCUGCUGUGCCUGGUGACCAGCCUGCCCAGCGACGAGGGCCUGGCGGUGACGUGGGCGCGGGCGUCGGGCGGCGCCCUGGAGCCGCUGCCGCUGCGGCUGAGCCACCAGUACAACGGCACCUUCACGGCCACCAGCGAGCUGCCGCUGGCCACCCGCGACUGGGAGAGCGGCGCCGCCUUCGUCUGCCGCGUCAGCCACGCCGAGCUGCCGGCGCCCGUGGAGCGGCGCGUGGAGAGGAGGCAGGGAAAGCGCCUCCCUCCCUCCGGUCUUCCUGCUGCCGCCGCCCCCCGAGGAAGCCGCCGGCUCCCGCCCCACGCUCUCCCUCACCUGCCUGGCCCGCGGCUUCUUCCCGGACGCCAUCGACGUGCAGUGGCAGCGCAACCAGGAGAGCAUUCCCGCCGGGAAUUCCGGGAAUUCCGCCGUGCAGACGGGGCCGGGUGCAGCGCGAGAAGGGGGGGGAGGGCUCCUAUUUCCUCUACAGCCGCCUCGAGGUGGACAGGGCCGAGUGGGAGCGCGGCUCCUCCUUCGUCUGCACCGUGGUGCACGAGGGGCUGCCCCUCCGCUUCGUGCAGCGCAGCGUCCACAAGAACCCCGGUAAUUAACGCAGGCGGCGCUAAUUGGCGUUAAUCGCUCCAUUAAAGGUCACGAAGCGGAUUUAUUUUGGUGGUUUUUGGGGAAAAAUCGGGGUUUUGGGGCCGGUUUGGGGACGGGGUUUUGGGGUUCGGGCUGGGUUUCGUCCAUAAGGAGUCCCUUAAUUACAGUAAAUAACUUAAUUAGCGAUAAUUAGUGAUAUUGAGUUGAUUAAAGGAGAUUUAUUGGUGAA